AUGGGUACUAAAAGAAGAGAUUUUGAAAAACCAGUGCAAUUUCAGAAUUAUAAGAAUGAUGGCUCUAUAUUAAACCUAGCAGAUCAUGAUCCAAUAGAUUGGCCGAAUAUAAUCAGCAUAUGGAAAGGUUUAAUAGUACAAAAAUAUAUACAAAAUCAGUAUAAUAUAGGCACUAAGGUAGAAGAUAUGUUAACAUAUCUUGAAACAUUUUUAGGAGAACCUGUAAAAGUUCUAUGGGAACAAUGGUUCGAGUCAUACCCUAGUCAAUAUGAGGAAUUAAAAAGGGCAGGAAGUAACCCUAAUAACUUUGCGAAUGUUACCUCAAAUAUGAUCAUAGCAGAAGAUCCAGAAUUAGGACAUACCUCAUUACAAAAUGAGAGGUUAAGAGAAAUAGAAAAAUUAACAUUAACUAGCUGGAAAGGUAUAAAAGAAUUCUCCCAGCAUUAUUUGUAUAAUGCUACUACUGUUAAACAAGGUUUUAAUGUAGGUGUAGUAGAAAGAUAUUUUAAUAAGUUGCCCGAUCCUCUAGGUUCCAUAAUAUUUGAGGAGUAUAAAAAAGAAACAGGAGGAAAUGUGGUAAAAAUAUCCCAAGCCAUAACAUUUGUUUUCAAACAGCUAAGAAAGGUAUGUACUAGCAUUCAAGCCCAAAGAUCUAUGAAGAAAUCAGAUUACAAUUUUUGCAAUAACAUUGUCCAAAUACCACUAACAUAUGGAGAACAAAGGCAUAGGAAAAACAAAUAUUAUAAACCACAAAGGAGAGAUAAUAUAAAUUCUAGAACAAAGAAAAGAUUUUUACAACAAUCUUUACAAACCACAAUCAUACAUGAAGAAGGGGUAACAUUUAUCCCUUAUCAAGAUAAUGUUCCAUACAUAUCUGAAGUAAGAAAACAAAGAAAGUCCUUAGAAAGUGUAGAAAUAUCUAAUUUAGAUGAUGAAUAUGGCACAAGUCCAGAUCCCCUUGAAUUCUGUAAAGACGAAGAACUUAGUGAGACCAUAGAAGAAUAUCAUAUAGAAAAUACAUGUACAGAAUGCAUUGGGUUACAAUCAUUCUCUCCAAAUUGGUAUAGAGAUAUAAAAUCUAAAAAGGAUAUAGAUAAGAUUGUGCAAAGACUAGAAAGCAUACAAAUUAUUGGAGAAAUACCAAUGAAACAUUGGGAUAAGAACUCCAUAGUUUGCAAAAUAAAUAUCAUAAAUCCAGAUUAUAUAAUUAAGUCAGGACCAAUAGAAGCUACUCCAAAAGAUAUUGAACAGUUCAAAAUGCAUAUUGAAGAGUUAUUAAAGUUAAAAGCUAUAAGAGAAAGUAGAAGUCCUUAUCGAUCUGCUGCUUUUAUAGUUAGAAAUCAUGCUGAAGAAGUUAGAGGUCUAAAGAAUGCACCCGCACUAUUUCAAAGAAAAAUGCAAAAUAUAUUUAAUGAGAAUCAAGCAUUUAUAUUGGUAUAUGGUGAUGAUUUGUUAGUGUUCUCAAAAUCAUACAAAGAGCAUAUAGCCCAUCUUGAAGUGUUCUUUCGAAAGGUAGAACAAAAUGGACUCAUACUAUCCAAAAAGAAGAUGGAAUUUUGCAAAGAAAAAGUAAAUUUCCUUGGUCAUGAAAUAGGAGAAGGAAAGAUAUAUCUACAAGAACAUAUUGCAAAGAAAAUAUUAGAGUUUCCUGAUAAUAUGAGUGAUAAAAAGGUUUUACAGCAAUUUUUAGGAAUUGUAAACUAUGCGCAAACUAUAUAG
This 1719-nucleotide ribosomal RNA is filed under the name Triticum aestivum (bread wheat). RNAcentral describes it as "partial small subunit ribosomal RNA". The record is from RNAcentral. Lineage: Eukaryota; Viridiplantae; Streptophyta; Magnoliopsida; Poales; Poaceae.